RNAcentral lists this ribosomal RNA (524 nucleotides) under uncultured bacterium. Its description in RNAcentral is "bacterial SSU rRNA". It matches the Rfam family "Bacterial small subunit ribosomal RNA", at positions 272 to 788 of the family's 1533-position model. The record is from RNAcentral.
GGCUCCGACGGGUAGCUGGUCUGAGAGGACGACCAGCCACACUGGGACUGAGACACGGCCCAGACUCCUACGGGAGGCAGCAGUGGGGAAUUUUGGACAAUGGGCGCAAGCCUGAUCCAGCCAUGCCGCGUGCAGGAAGAAGGCCUUCGGGUUGUAAACUGCUUUUGUCAGGGAAGAAAUCCUCUGGGCUAAUACCCUGGGGGGAUGACGGUACCUGAAGAAUAAGCACCGGCUAACUACGUGCCAGCAGCCGCGGUAAUACGUAGGGUGCAAGCGUUAAUCGGAAUUACUGGGCGUAAAGCGUGCGCAGGCGGUUUUGUAAGACAGAGGUGAAAUCCCCGGGCUCAACCUGGGAACUGCCUUUGUGACUGCAAAGCUUGAGUGCGGCAGAGGGGGAUGGAAUUCCGCGUGUAGCAGUGAAAUGCGUAGAUAUGCGGAGGAACACCGAUGGCGAAGGCAAUCCCCUGGGCCUGCACUGACGCUCAUGCACGAAAGCGUGGGGAGCAAACAGGAUUAGAUACCCU